RNAcentral lists this non-coding RNA (30 nucleotides) under Homo sapiens (human). The record is from RNAcentral. Lineage: Eukaryota; Metazoa; Chordata; Mammalia; Primates; Hominidae.
AUGCCUCAGGAACAGAAUAUGGACCUUAAA